GCCCAGAUGGGGAAAUUGGUAGACGCGCCAGCUUCAGGUGCUGGCGAUCGCAAGGUUGUUGAGGGUCGUCGAGUCCCUGCCUGGGCACCA
This 90-nucleotide transfer RNA is filed under the name Polynucleobacter sp. Its description in RNAcentral is "tRNA-Leu". The record is from RNAcentral. Lineage: Bacteria; Pseudomonadati; Pseudomonadota; Betaproteobacteria; Burkholderiales; Burkholderiaceae.